AUUCUAUAGAAUACUAUAUACAACUUGUUUUCUUUUGAUUUUUUUAUGCUUUUCAUCUUUUUUUUCUUUUCUUUCAUUUUCUACAUUUUUUUAAUCUUUUUGUCUAUAUUACGGUUUUUUCCAAAUGGACAUGGUCACACCUUGGCCAGACUCGGAGGUAACUAGUCUCCAACCCACGCCUCAAGACUCAUAAAGGUUGGGAAGAAGGCGGACCUCGAUGGUCGCCACACGUGUUUAGGUUGUAACCAAACCCCAUGACAUUUUUAUUCUAGAAACCUCAUUCAGACUCCUCCUACUUGUUUUACCUUCGUAUCAACCUAGGCAAGUUUGAAGGGAAUAGCUACAAAGACACUCUACUUCAACCUAGAAUAAGAC
RNAcentral lists this long non-coding RNA (375 nucleotides) under Linum usitatissimum (flax). Its description in RNAcentral is "long non-coding RNA (LUSI_LNC002792)". The record is from RNAcentral. Lineage: Eukaryota; Viridiplantae; Streptophyta; Magnoliopsida; Malpighiales; Linaceae.